RNAcentral lists this ribosomal RNA (407 nucleotides) under uncultured bacterium. RNAcentral describes it as "partial 16S ribosomal RNA". It matches the Rfam family "Bacterial small subunit ribosomal RNA", at positions 29 to 526 of the family's 1533-position model. The record is from RNAcentral.
AAUGAACGCUGGCGGCAGGCCUAACACAUGCAAGUCGAGCGGAGCGGCGGACGGGUGAGUAAUGCCUAGGAAUCUGCCUGGUAGUGGGGGAUCACGUACAGAAACGGGCGCUAAUAACGCAUACUAUCAGAUGAGCCUAGGUCGGAUUAGCUAGUUGGUGGGGUAAAGGCUCACCUAGGCGACGAUCGCUAGCUGGUCUGAGAGGAUAGGCAGCCACACUGGGACUGAGCUACGGCCCAGACUCCUACGGUAGGCAGCAGUGGGGAAGAUUGAACAAUGGGCGCAAUCCUGAUGUAGCCAUGCCGAGUGUAUGAAGAAGGCCUUAGGGUUGUAGAGUACUUUCAGCGGGGAGGCGUUACCCGCAGAAGAAGCACCUGCUAACUCCGUGCCAGCAGCCGCGGUAAUAC